This 644-nucleotide ribosomal RNA is filed under the name Klebsiella pneumoniae. RNAcentral describes it as "partial 23S ribosomal RNA". It matches the Rfam family "Bacterial large subunit ribosomal RNA", at positions 2287 to 2925 of the family's 2925-position model. RNAcentral also lists the same sequence under 2 other names. The record is from RNAcentral. Lineage: Bacteria; Pseudomonadati; Pseudomonadota; Gammaproteobacteria; Enterobacterales; Enterobacteriaceae.
CUCCCAAAGCGUAACGGAGGAGCACGAAGGUUAGCUAAUCCUGGUCGGACAUCAGGAGGUUAGUGCAAUGGCAUAAGCUAGCUUGACUGCGAGCGUGACGGCGCGAGCAGGUGCGAAAGCAGGUCAUAGUGAUCCGGUGGUUCUGAAUGGAAGGGCCAUCGCUCAACGGAUAAAAGGUACUCCGGGGAUAACAGGCUGAUACCGCCCAAGAGUUCAUAUCGACGGCGGUGUUUGGCACCUCGAUGUCGGCUCAUCACAUCCUGGGGCUGAAGUAGGUCCCAAGGGUAUGGCUGUUCGCCAUUUAAAGUGGUACGCGAGCUGGGUUUAGAACGUCGUGAGACAGUUCGGUCCCUAUCUGCCGUGGGCGCUGGAGAAUUGAGGGGGGCUGCUCCUAGUACGAGAGGACCGGAGUGGACGCAUCACUGGUGUUCGGGUUGUCAUGCCAAUGGCACUGCCCGGUAGCUAAAUGCGGAAGAGAUAAGUGCUGAAAGCAUCUAAGCACGAAACUUGCCCCGAGAUGAGUUCUCCCUGAGACUUUAAGUCUCCUGAAGGAACGUUGAAGACGACGACGUUGAUAGGCCGGGUGUGUAAGCGCAGCGAUGCGUUGAGCUAACCGGUACUAAUGAACCGUGAGGCUUAACCUU